This 253-nucleotide ribosomal RNA is filed under the name uncultured bacterium. RNAcentral describes it as "partial 16S ribosomal RNA". It matches the Rfam family "Bacterial small subunit ribosomal RNA", at positions 524 to 776 of the family's 1533-position model. The record is from RNAcentral.
UACGUAGGCAGCGAGCGUUGUUCGGAGUUACUGGGCGUAAAGAGUGCGUAGGCGGUUUUCUAAGUUUGGUGUGAAAUCUCCCGGCUUAACUGGGAGGGUGCGCCGAAGACUGGAAGGCUUGAGUAUGGGAGAGGUAAGCGGAAUUCCUGGUGUAGCGGUGAAAUGCGUAGAUAUCGGGAGGAACACCAGUGGCGAAGGCGACUUCCUGGCCUGUUCUUGACGCUGAGGCGCGAAAGCUAGGGGAGCAAACGGG